CUCCGCCUGAAAUUAUAUACUCUGGCUCGAAUUGAUUCAGUUUCUGUCCACCUAAAGGUAUAUUUUCUUGCUCGAAUUGAUUCAGUUUUUCUCCACCUAAAGGUAUAUUUUCUUGCUCGGAUUGAUUCAUUUUCUCUCUGUCUGAGGGUAUAUGUUCUUGCUCACAUAUAUCCAGUGUCUCUCCGCCUGAAGUUAUAUCCUCUUGUUCAGAUUGAUUCAGUUUCUCUCCGCCUGAAAUUAUAUACUCUGGCUCAGAUUGAUUCAGUUUCUCUCCGCCUGAAGUUAUGUACUCUGGCUCGAAUUGAUUCAGUUUCUGUCCACCUAAAGGUAUAUUCUCUUGUUCAGACUGAUUCAGUUUCUGUCCACCUAAAGGUAUAUUCUCUUGUUCAGACUGAUUCAGUUUCUGUCCACCUAAAGGUAUAUUCUCUUGUUCAGAUUGAUUCAGUUCCUCUCUGUCUGAGGGUAUGUGUUCUUGCACAUAUAGAUUCAGUUUCUCUCCGCCUGAAGUUAUGUACUCUGGCUCGAAUUGAUUCAGUUUCUGUCCACCUAAAGGUAUAUUCUCUUGUUCAGAUUGAUUCAGUUUCUCUCCGCCUGAAAUUAUAUACUCUGGCUCGAAUUGAUUCAGUUUCUGUCCACCUAAAGGUAUAUUUUCUUGCUCGGAUUGAUUCAUUUUCUCUCUGUCUGAGGGUAUAUGUUCUUGCUCACAUAUAUCCAGUGUCUCGCCGCCUGAAGUUAUAUCCUCUUGUUCAGAUUGAUUCAGUUUCUCUCCGCCUGAAAUUAUAUACUCUGGCUCAGAUUGAUUCAGUUUCUCUCCUCCUGAAGGUAUCUUCUCUUGUUCAGAUUGAUUCCGUUUCUCUCCACCUAAAGGUAUAUUCUCUUGCUCGGAUUGAUUCCGUUUCUCUCCGCCUGAAGUUAUGUACUCUGGCUCGGAUUGAUUCAGUUUCUCUCCGUCUGUUGGUAUGUUUUCUUGUGCAUUUACGUUCUGUUUCUCUCCGCCUGAAGGUAUAUGCUCUUGCUCAUAUUGAUUCAGUUUCUCUCCGCCUGAAGGUAUCUUCUCUUGUUCAGAUUGAUUCAUUUUCUCUCCAUCUGAGGGUAUGUUUUCUUGCACAUAUAGAUUCAGUUUCUCUCUGCCUGAGGGUAUAUACUCUUGUUCAGAUUGAUUCAGAUUCUCUCCAUCUGUGGGUAUGUGUUCUUGUGCAUUUAGAUUCAGUUUCUCUCCUCCUGAAGGUAUAUACUCUUGUUCAGAUUGAUUCAGUCUCUCUGAGUGUAUAUACUCUUGCUCAGGUUGAUUCAGUCUCUCUGAGUGUAUAUACUUUUGCUCAGUUUGAUUCAGUCUCUCUGAGUGUAUCUGCUCUACCUCCUCACUGUAUAAUAUGUCUUGUGUCUGGGAAAGUUCAGUGUGAGACUCAAUUUGAAGACUCAGUACUGACUCGCUCUCAAUCAUCUGCCCAGUAAAGUGUUCACUGUAACUGGAUAUAGAUAAAUUCUCUAGCUCUUGCUCCACCAAUCUAUCAAUUCUUUCUUCAUUAUAGUCCUCAUCAGAGCACACCAUGGAGUACUCUCCAGGUUCUGUAAGUUCCUCAUAGGAUUGCUCCUCUUCUGCCUCCUGAAUCAACUGAUCUACAGCAUUCUCCUCAUCGUUCUCCUGUGUAGCAUGCUCCUUUGUUUGGCUAGCAUCCACGUCGCCUUGGUGAGUGGAGCCCAUGUGACGUUCCUGAUCUAUGACAUCUCCUUCUGACUCUUCAUACAGAUCCUCCAUGGUGUCAAACUGUUUGGACUUGCCUUCGCCCCAGGUGUCUGUUCCUGUCUGGCAAACCUCCCUGUCCUCUUCACCAUCACUGGAGUCGCUCUCGCCCAUGUGUGAAGCCAGAGUGUUGACAUCCGUCUCGUCACUCUUGUAACGGAUCAAGGGGUGUGUGUCGGCUAGUGUGUUGUCCUGAGCAUAGCUGUCGCCUUCUAGCUCAGCCCUCCAUGAAACAGAAUUAUUUUGACAGUAGUUUGCCUCAUCAUGAUCCUCUUUGUCAUUGUCGGAUAUAUUCAGUUUAUCUCCGCCUGAAGUUAUGUACUCUGGCUCGGAUUGAUUCAGUUUCUCUCCACCUGAAGGUAUAUACUCUGACUCGGAUUGAUUCAUUUUCUCUCCGUCUGUUGUUAUGUGUUCUUGUGCAUUUACGUUCUGUUUCUCUCCGCCUGAAGUUAUGUACUCUGGCUCGGAUUGAUUCAGUUUCUCUCCGCCUGAAGGUAUAUGUUCUUGCUCAGAUUGAUUCAGUUUCUCUCCGUUUGAAUUGAUAUACCUUUGCUCAGACUGAUUCAGUUUCUCUCUGCCUGAAGGUAUUUGCUCUUGCUCGAAUAGAUUUUGUUUCUCUUCAUUUGAAGGUAUAUACUCUUGAUCAGACCGAUUGGGUUGGGCUUCUCUGUUAUUCCACAUCUCUUCCUCUUUCACAUGAUACUUUGCUUCUUUCCAAUCAUCCAUUCUUUCUCCAAUUCCAUUCUCUUCAUUGUACCCUGCCACUCGAUCCCAUUCAUCCUUUACAUCCCCAUUGGGGUUCAGUGCAUGUUGUUCCUCACGUUUGUUAGACAUAUCAUUUUCAUCAUCCACUUUUGUGAAAUUUAUGUCACCUUCCUCCACUCUUUCAACAUGGUGAAAUACCUCUUCUGACCAGUGAGAAGCUUGAGCAGAUUCAUAUGAGAUAAUCUCCUCUUGGUUGAACUUAUCGAUUCUUUCUGUCAUGUCAUUUUCCUUAAUGAAUCCUCCCAAUCUUUCACAAUCAUCGUUACCAUACCCAUAGGGGUGCAAUUCAUCUUCCAAUUGCUCCUCAUGUUUGUUAGACAUAUCAUUUUCAUCCUCUUUUGGGAGAUGAAUAACAUCUUCCUCCAGUCUUUUAACAUGGCGAAAUGCCUCUUCUGAACCGUGGGAGGCUUGAGUGGAUUCAUAUGACAUAUUGUCCUCUUGGUUGAACUCUAUUGGCUUGUUGUAACUUUUCCCCGCCCCAUACUCAAAAGCUUGACUGCUUGUGAAGGUUUCAAAUGCUUGCUCUAGCACUGAUGCAGUUUCAGAUUCCAAGCCUUCGUUUCUCGCCCAUUCAGCAUCUUUCUUUGCUGUUUCAAGCUCUCUUUCCUCCGAUGCAUUCAUGGGACCGUAAGGCAUAUCUAGUAGAGGUUCCUCUUUUUCAAAAUACAUUUCAAAAGGUACAUCAUUAUCAUCAUUCGCUGAGAAAGCAGAAUGUGCCCCUGUCACCGAACCUGCUCUCUCAUAGCUCACUGAAGGGCUGUAGAGCUCUUGAGCAUCAGUGCUGAACACAGUUGGCAUACUGAAGCUGGUCUCGACCCGGUGACUCAUGGCAGAUUCCAGAACGGGUUUCUCUUCAGCAAACCAGGUUCUGACUAUGUUCUGAUCCUCUUCCUCCUUUUCCAUAUCCCACAUGGAUUGUUCCUUGUGGUCAGAUCCAAGCAAAGAUACAACAUCAGCUCCUGCCUCUUCAGUGGGAGGUGAGAGAGGCUCAGCAUAGUUGACUUCUAUAUGGACAUCUUGGGGUCUGAAGUGGUGGACUGAAAUUCCGUCCUGUGGUACUUUGAGGUAAGGCGUUGAACAACUUACCUGGUGGUUGGACCCUACGCCAAAGUCGAUAUGCUCUUCUGUCUUUCGACAACUCUCAGGUGUUUCAUUCAGGGUUACCCGAUUUUGAGUCCAGAUUGGUGAUGCGGACAUCAUUGUCACAUUGGAUCGUGGACUUGCUCUAUGGAUGGUAGAGAUGGGCCUGAUCAUGUGACUGGUAGCCAGCUGUGUCUGGAAGCUUUGCUUAACC
Oncorhynchus tshawytscha (Chinook salmon) is the source of this 3803-nucleotide long non-coding RNA. The record is from Ensembl. Lineage: Eukaryota; Metazoa; Chordata; Actinopteri; Salmoniformes; Salmonidae.